RNAcentral lists this ribosomal RNA (509 nucleotides) under uncultured bacterium. Its description in RNAcentral is "partial 16S ribosomal RNA". It matches the Rfam family "Bacterial small subunit ribosomal RNA", at positions 28 to 523 of the family's 1533-position model. The record is from RNAcentral.
GAUGAACGCUGGCGGCGUGGAUAAGACAUGCAAGUCGAACGGGGUUUCAGCGGAUAGCAAUAUUCAUUGAAACUCGGUGGCGAACGGGAGCGUAACACGUGGGAAUUUACCAAAAAGUGGGGGAUAGCUCGUCGAAAGGCGAAUUAAAACCGCAUGUGAUCGAAAGAUUAAAGUGGGGGAUCGUAAGACCUCACGCUUUUUGAGAAGCCCGCGGCCUAUCAGCUAGUUGGUGAGGUAACGGCUCACCAAGGCUAUGACGGGUAGCUGGUCUGAGAGGACGACCAGCCUCACUGGAACUGAGACACGGGCCAGACACCUACGUGUGUCAGCAGUCGAGAAUUUUUCACAAUGGGGGCAACCCUGAUGGAGCGACGCCGCGUGGAGGAUGAAGGCCUUCGGGUCGUAAACUCCUGUCACUACAGAACAAGAGUAUAGUAGCUAACACCUAUUAUGCUUGAUAGUAUGUGGAGAGGAAGGGACGGCCAACUCUGUGCCAGCAGCCGCCGCAG